CAAAGCCACAGGGGAACGUGAUUCUAAUACAGGGGAAGAGGAAAUGAAGGAGGAGGAAGAGGAAGAGAAGACAAAGAAGAAAGGAAGGAGAAAACGAAGGAAGGAAAAGGAAAAAGAAAGGAAAGGAGAGAAAGGAAGAGGAAGGUAGAGGAGACGAAAGGAAGGUAGAGAUGAAAGAAAAAUAUACUGAAGAAGGAAACGAAGAAGAGGGAAGGAGGAGAAGAAAAAAGAAAUGAAUGAAGGAAGGAAAAAAGCGAAAGACAAAAUAUACGAAAGGAACAAGGAAGAAAAUACAAAACGAUGACAGAGAGGACAAGAGGGAAGAAAAAAGGGAGAAGGGAAAAAUGAGAAAGAGGAAGAGGAAGAAGAAGAGGAGGAGGGUGAGAACAGUGGCAAUAAUGACAGGUUUGAUAACAAGGAAAAGAAAAAAUGUGAAUAAAAAUAGAGAGGAAAUAGGGAAACACGAAAUAGGAACUCAGAACGCAAAUACAUGGUUACAGAAGGUCACAGAUAUGAAAAUUGGCAGAAUGGAAAUAGGGAAACACGAAACAAGGACUCAGAAGGCAAAUAGAUAGUUACAGAAGGUCACAGAUACGAAAAUUGGCAGAAUGGAAAUAGGGAAACACGAAAUAGGAACUCAGAACGCAAAUACAUGGUUACAGAAGGUCACAGAUACGAAAAUUGGCAGAAUGGAAAUAGGGAAACACGAAACAAGGACUCAGAAGGCAAAUAGAUAGUUACAGAAGGUCAAAGAUACGAAAAUAGGCAGAAAAAGGGGUGUCACUGUACCUGGGAAGUGAUAUAUAUGAAAAUGGAAUAAAAAAUGUACCUGGAGUGAAGUAUAUUAGUGUUUUGUUUGUCCAUUUGAGUUGUUAGUGAUUCUACAACUUCCUCCUUUUAUUCUUUUUCUUCUUUGUUUUGUUCUUCGUUUUCUUCUUUAAUUUGUGUUUCUUUGUUUUCCUUCUUCUCCUCGUUAAUUAAGUUCCCCAUCAUUUCUCUUACACAUGAUUACCCUUCUUCUUCUUCUUGUGUUUCUUUCCUUCUUUCUCCUCCUCCUUCUCUUUUCUUUAGUUUCCCAUCAUUUCUCUUACAUAUGACUACCCUUCUUCUUCUUCUUCUUGUGUUUCUUUCCUUCUUUCUCCUCCUCCUUCUCUUUUCUUUAGUUUCCCAUCAUUUCUCUUACAUAUGACUACCCUUCUUCUUCUUCUUCUUCUUCUUCUUCUUCUUCUUCUUCUUCUUCUCCUCCUCCUUGCUCACCUUACCCACCUAACCUGUCCAAGCCUCCACCAGUUUACCUGUUCCACUCCCUUCCUCGGGCUGCCACCCACCUGUUCACUCCACCACCUCCACCACCACCACUACCUCCUCCACUUCACUUCCACAUGUUCACUCUUUUUCCAUCUAUCAUCAACUCUUCCAUCUUCCACUUCCUCCUUGACUGCUUCCUCCAUUCCCUCCACCAAUAGCAACCCUUUUCCUCCACUUCCUCCUCCGCCUGUUCCCUCCUUUUCCCCCUCCACUGUUCUCUGCAAACUCGACAUGACUUAUCCUCCUCCUCCUCCACUCCCUCUUCCACUUGUUCAUUCCACUCCCCCUCUUCGCUAUCUACUCCCUCUUUUGUUUGGUAUUCCACUCCCUCCCUCCGCCCUCUAUUCCUACCACUAUCAUCACCAUCAUCACCACCACCACCAACCACUAUCACCACCACCACCAACCACUAUCACCACUAUCACCACCACACCAACCACUAUCACAACCAUCACCACCACCAACCACUAUCACCACCAUCAUCACCACCAACAACAACAACUAUCAUCUCUCAUCACCACCACAACCAACCACUAUCACCAUCACCACCACAAGCACUAUCACCUCCAUCAUCACCACCAGCCACAAUCACAAUCAUCAC
Long non-coding RNA from Eriocheir sinensis (Chinese mitten crab), 1909 nucleotides. RefSeq lists it as uncharacterized. The transcript is spliced from 3 exons. The record is from RefSeq and is a predicted model, not a curated record. NCBI's taxonomy places the organism in Eukaryota, Metazoa, Arthropoda, Malacostraca, Decapoda, Varunidae.